UACGUAGGGUGCGAGCGUUAAUCGGAAUUACUGGGCGUAAAGCGUGCGCAGGCGGUUCGUUGUGUCGGUGGUGAAAUCCCCGGGCUUAACCUUGGAAUGGCCAUGGAAACUGGCGAACUGGAGUGCGGCAGAGGGGGGUGGAAUUCCGCGUGUAGCAGUGAAAUGCGUAGAGAUGCGGAGGAACACCGAUGGCGAAGGCAGCCCCCUGGGCUAGCACUGACGCUCAGGCACGAAAGCGUGGGGAGCAAACAGG
Molecule: ribosomal RNA, 253 nt
Filed under: uncultured bacterium
Lineage: Bacteria
Description: partial 16S ribosomal RNA
Rfam family: Bacterial small subunit ribosomal RNA
Source: RNAcentral